AAGCCUUGAUCCUACAAAGAAGACUCAAUUAUUUGUCACAAUGAGUCCAGGAAGCAAGGAUCAACUGCAGCCAACCUUAGAAUAAAGAAAGCAUAGAGAAACAGUACCUAUCUUAAGAUAAAGCAGUGCAUCACUUGCCAGCAAGAGCACACAGCUGAAAUUGACUGAUAUGUUAACCCUCAGGCAGAGGGCAAGGCAACCCUAAAUUCUAUGUUUAAGAGCAGAGUACUGAUUAACA
Long non-coding RNA from Saccostrea echinata, 238 nucleotides. RefSeq lists it as uncharacterized. The record is from RefSeq and is a predicted model, not a curated record. The transcript has 3 exons. NCBI's taxonomy places the organism in Eukaryota, Metazoa, Mollusca, Bivalvia, Ostreida, Ostreidae.